Long non-coding RNA from Chenopodium quinoa (quinoa), 567 nucleotides. RefSeq lists it as uncharacterized. The transcript has 2 exons. The record is from RefSeq and is a predicted model, not a curated record. NCBI's taxonomy places the organism in Eukaryota, Viridiplantae, Streptophyta, Magnoliopsida, Caryophyllales, Amaranthaceae.
GCAAGUGACAAACCCUAUUUCCCCACAGUCGCUUUUUCCUUCAAGUUCAUUAUCAAACAGCUGUUUAUGGCUUACCUGUAUUCAAAAAUUUCCUCUUUCUCUCUCCGUUUCAGAUCCGGCUUAGUGGUUUUCCAUGGCUCUAACCUUAACUCCAAUCAACAAUAUAUCCUCUCUAACACCUUCUCCAAUGGUUCGAACUUCUAUAAAAGCAAGCCGAAAGAUCGAUAAAAUAGAUCAACACUCCAGCGAAACAAACUCGGUGAAGGCUUACUUCUUGGAAUGUAUAAGGUUGUAAAGUUGAAGGAGCUCUUCAAUACGAGGAGACAACUACCAAGUAUAAUUGAAUCAAAAUUGGAAUUUCAGAUCAAGUUCCAAACAAAAGCUAUGGAGAAUGGACUAAUGGAGCUAGUGGAAUUGAUAACAAUAAGAACAAGCAAUGAUUUCAUUAUUUUCAUCAGCAAUAGGAACACAACGAACGUAACAACAGAAGGCAACAAUUUCUUAAACAUCUAAGGAGGAGUCAGCCAUUGAAGAGCUGAAGAGUUAGGCAAAGUUUGAAAAAAAAAA